RNAcentral lists this unclassified non-coding RNA (150 nucleotides) under Oryza sativa (Asian cultivated rice). Its description in RNAcentral is "partial microRNA MIR468n-31 precursor". Lineage: Eukaryota; Viridiplantae; Streptophyta; Magnoliopsida; Poales; Poaceae. The record is from RNAcentral.
UACUUUACUCCCUCCGUCCAUAAAAAACCAACUAAUACUGGAUGUGACACAUUCUAGUAUAAUGAAUCUGAACAUACAUCUGUCUAAAUUCAUUGUACUAUAAUAUGCCACAUCAAAUCCUAUAUUUAAUUUUUUUUUGACAGAGGGAGU